AUGACUAGGGAUAACCUUAGAAAGAGACACAUCAUCAAACCCCUUGAUUGUGUUUACUGCUUGGAACAAGAGUCUUGUUCUCACCUAUUUUUUGAAUGUAUAGUUGCUAAACAUCUCUGGGCCCACAUUGAGGAAUAUUUCUCUAGUCAGAUUGGCUCAUCCUUCGAAUUUGUCGCUAGAUUCUGGAUUGCUACCAAAAAGUGCUCAGUUUUAAACACUAUUAGCUCAGUUGUCCUUUGGCUCUAGAAAUACAGAAAUGCUAUGAUUUUCAGUAACACCUCCUGGAUUUCCAUUCCGCAGGUCUUGAGGUUGAUCAGGAACAUGGUGAGGAACUGGGCGAUUCUCUCCUCCGGAUCGGACAAGGACAAGUUGACGAGCUUCGUGGAAACCCUAACAAGAUCCCUCUAG
This 408-nucleotide ribosomal RNA is filed under the name Triticum aestivum (bread wheat). RNAcentral describes it as "partial small subunit ribosomal RNA". Lineage: Eukaryota; Viridiplantae; Streptophyta; Magnoliopsida; Poales; Poaceae. The record is from RNAcentral.